AACAUGCAAGUCGAGCGGAUGAGAGGAGCUUGCUCCUUAAUUCAGCGGCGGACGGGUGAGUAAUGCCUAGGAAUCUGCCUGGUAGUGGGGGACAACGUUUCGAAAGGAACGCUAAUACCGCAUACGUCCUACGGGAGAAAGCAGGGGACCUUCGGGCCUUGCGCUAUCAGAUGAGCCUAGGUCGGAUUAGCUAGUUGGUGAGGUAAUGGCUCACCAAGGCGACGAUCCGUAACUGGUCUGAGAGGAUGAUCAGUCACACUGGAACUGAGACACGGUCCAGACUCCUACGGGAGGCAGCAGUGGGGAAUAUUGGACAAUGGGCGAAAGCCUGAUCCAGCCAUGCCGCGUGUGUGAAGAAGGUCUUCGGAUUGUAAAGCACUUUAAGUUGGGAGGAAGGGCAGUAAAUUAAUACUUUGCUGUUUUGACGUUACCGACAGAAUAAGCACCGGCUAACUCUGUGCCAGCAGCCGCGGUAAUACAGAGGGUGCAAGCGUUAAUCGGAAUUACUGGGCGUAAAGCGCGCGUAGGUGGUUCGUUAAGUUGGAUGUGAAAUCCCCGGGCUCAACCUGGGAACUGCAUUCAAAACUGUC
RNAcentral lists this ribosomal RNA (590 nucleotides) under uncultured bacterium. Its description in RNAcentral is "bacterial SSU rRNA". It matches the Rfam family "Bacterial small subunit ribosomal RNA", at positions 52 to 637 of the family's 1533-position model. The record is from RNAcentral.